UGGAUCGCCCUUAGAGUUUGAUCCUGGCUCAGGAUGAACGCUGGCGGCGUGCCUAACACAUGCAAGUCGAGCGUGAACCCUUAGAAUGAAACUUCGGUCGAAUGACGAGGGGGAAAGCGGCGGACGGGUGAGUAACGCGUAGGCAACCUGCCCCGUACAGAGGGAUAGCCUCGGGAAACCGGGAUUAAAACCUCAUAAUACCAUGGUAUCACAUGAUGCAAUGGUCAAAGAUUUAUCGGUAUGGGAUGGGCCUGCGUCUGAUUAGCUGGUUGGUGGGGUAACGGCCUACCAAGGCAACGAUCAGUAGCCGACCUGAGAGGGUAAUCGGCCACAUUGGAACUGAGACACGGUCCAAACUCCUACGGGAGGCAGCAGUGGGGAAUAUUGCACAAUGGGCGAAAGCCUGAUGCAGCAACGCCGCGUGAGCGAAGAAGGCCUUUGGGUCGUAAAGCUCUGUCGGGAAGGAAGAUAAUGACGGUACUUCCCGAGGAAGCCCCGGCUAACUACGUGCCAGCAGCCGCGGUAAUACGUAGGGGGCGAGCGUUAUCCGGAAUUAUUGGGCGUAAAGAGUGCGUAGGUGGUUGUUUAAGCGUGGGGUGAAAGGCAAUGGCUUAACCUUUGUGAGCCUCGCGAACUUGGGCGACUUGAGUGCAGGAGAGGAAAUGCGGAAUUCUUAGUGUAGCGGUGAAAUUGCGUAUAUAUUAGGAGGAACACCAUUGGCGAAGGCUGCUUUCUGGACUGUAACUGACACUGAGGUACGAAAGCUUGGGGAGCAACCUGGUUUAAUCACCUGGUAUCCA
RNAcentral lists this ribosomal RNA (800 nucleotides) under uncultured Anaerovorax sp. Its description in RNAcentral is "bacterial SSU rRNA". It matches the Rfam family "Bacterial small subunit ribosomal RNA", at positions 1 to 797 of the family's 1533-position model. Lineage: Bacteria; Bacillati; Bacillota; Clostridia; Peptostreptococcales; Anaerovoracaceae. The record is from RNAcentral.